This 540-nucleotide ribosomal RNA is filed under the name uncultured bacterium. RNAcentral describes it as "partial 16S ribosomal RNA". It matches the Rfam family "Bacterial small subunit ribosomal RNA", at positions 355 to 885 of the family's 1533-position model. The record is from RNAcentral.
UGGGGAAUAUUGGACAAUGGGCGCAAGCCUGAUCCAGCAAUGCCGCGUGUGUGAAGAAGGCCUUCGGGUUGUAAAGCACUUUUAUCAGGAGCGAAACGCUGUCGGCUAAUACCCGGCGGAACUGACGGUACCUGAGGAAUAAGCACCGGCUAACUUCGUGCCAGCAGCCGCGGUAAUACGAAGGGUGCAAGCGUUAAUCGGAAUUACUGGGCGUAAAGCGUGCGUAGGCGGUUUCUUAAGUCUGCUGUGAAAUCCCCGGGCUCAACCUGGGAAUGGCAGUGGAUACUGGGAGGCUAGAGUGUGUCAGAGGGUGGUGGAAUUCCCGGUGUAGCGGUGAAAUGCGUAGAGAUCGGGAGGAACAUCAGUGGCGAAGGCGGCCACCUGGGACAACACUGACGCUGAGGCACGAAAGCGUGGGGAGCAAACAGGAUUAGAUACCCUGGUAGUCCACGCCCUAAAGCGAUGCGAACUGGAUGUUGGUCUCAACUCGGAGAUCAGUGUCGAAGCUAACGCGUUAAGUUCGCCGCCUGGGGAGUACGG